This 68-nucleotide transfer RNA is filed under the name Acaudina molpadioides. Its description in RNAcentral is "tRNA-Glu". It matches the Rfam family "tRNA". From Rfam's summary of the family: Transfer RNA (tRNA) molecules are approximately 80 nucleotides in length. Their secondary structure includes four short double-helical elements and three loops (D, anti-codon, and T loops). Further hydrogen bonds mediate the characteristic L-shaped molecular structure. tRNAs have two regions of fundamental functional importance: the anti-codon, which is responsible for specific mRNA codon recognition, and the 3' end, to which the tRNAs corresponding amino acid is attached (by aminoacyl-tRNA synthetases). tRNAs cope with the degeneracy of the genetic code in two manners: having more than one tRNA (with a specific anti-codon) for a particular amino acid; and 'wobble' base-pairing, i.e. permitting non-standard base-pairing at the 3rd anti-codon position. Lineage: Eukaryota; Metazoa; Echinodermata; Holothuroidea; Molpadida; Caudinidae. The record is from RNAcentral.
GCUAUUAUAGUUUAGAAAAACGAAGGCUUUUCAAGCCUUAACCCUAGGUUAAACCCCUAGUAACAGCU